Molecule: long non-coding RNA, 1813 nt
Organism: Tachysurus fulvidraco (yellow catfish)
Lineage: Eukaryota; Metazoa; Chordata; Actinopteri; Siluriformes; Bagridae
Exons: 9
Source: RefSeq, a predicted model, not a curated record
UCUAAUAUGUCAGUAACACAGACAGUGCCUUCAUUUCUAGCUAAUAUUACAUUAAUUUUACAUUAAUGACAAAGAUGAUUUAUGAGCAUUUCUAAUCUUGGAGAUGAGGUUGGGGGAUCCGUAUGAGAUGAAGAUGUUGUGAUAUAAAUACCUAUAGAGGACUAUUAUUUUGACCUGUCGAUGCAAUGUGCGACAAUAGAAAAAAAAAAAAAAACGGGGGGGGGGACAGGCGACAGAUUACACAGCUUUAAAACACAAUCAGUCUGAUUUUCACAACACUGCAGUUUUAAAGCUCAGUAACAUCAGCAGCAAUCAGAUCAUCCUCACAUCCAAACACACACCCAACCUGCAGUCAAGCACUUCUCUCUGUUUAUCAUCACAGGGAGCUUAACGUGUUCCAGCACCUGGCAAAAUGGGCUAUCUGAAACUAAUUGAGAUUGAAAAUUUCAAAUCUUAUAAAGGCCGACAAAUAAUCGGACCUUUCCGCAAAUUCACAGCUAUUAUCGGACCAAACGGCUCGGGGUGCUGUGGAAUCCAUAGCUAUGAAAAAUCCCAAAGAGAGAACGGCUCUGUUUGAGGAGAUCUCCCGCUCUGGGGAACUAGCUCAGGAGUAUGAUCGCAGGAAGAAAGAGAUGGUAAAGAUGGAAGAGGACGCCCAGUUCAAUUACCACCGUAAGAAGAACAUCGUGGCUGAACGCAAAGAGGCCAAGCAAGAGAAAGAGGCUGAGCGUUACCAGAGGCUGAAAGACAAGGUUGUUAGAGCUAAUGUGCAGUUACAGCUUUUCAAACUGUACCACAAUGAGUCUGAAAUUGAAGUGGACAGAGUCAGAUAGGCAAUAGAAUGUUACAUUGGCACCAUCCUCAAUUCAACAAAUACUGCUGGACGGCUAUACCACCUGAAUCACUACUCCAUAGGUGUGAUUUUACACAAAUCAAGAGAACAAAUGACCAGGCAAGGGUUAAGAAAUGUCACCUUUAAUGAUUAUGAUGGAGCCAUUGGAUUUGUCAAUAUAGCAAAUGUACACUGGAAGUUUGUGUAUCUUCAUGACCUUUCGAGCAAAUUUUUGUGGUUGACCCCAUGCAAGGGUCAAACGAAUUGGAGGACUCAGAAAAGGCCUGUUACAAAAUAGAGUAUUUCAAGAUGCGUAGAAACCGACUUGGAAAGGAGGACUGGGUGGACAUCAGAUGGAAGCCUGGAAAGAUUGUCCACACCUUUCAAAAAGAUACCACCAACUGUGGAGUCUUUGUAAUAGAGAUGGCCAAGAGGACAGUGAAAGAAUUCCCAAACAUUCCACAAAUGUUUGACAUUGACCCAUCAUAAGAAUCACUUAAGCAAAGAAGAGACGUGGCUGAAGUCAUUCUAAAAGGAUCAGUUCCAAACACAGAUUUCUGCUCCUUUUGUGGAAACAUGAACCUACCAAAAGCUGUGGCUGCUGUUUGGGUGAGAUUUACACUUCAGUUGUUUAAAACGGUACAGUAAACAUUGUAGUGGAUAAUCUGAAGGUUGAUGUUAUCUAUAGAUAAAUUUAAAGUAAUUAAAUAUUUCAAUACAUUUAUGCAUUACAGGAUUUUUAAAGCAAAUAUUUUAUAGAAAUAAUUUUCAUAUUUUCCCCCUUAUAUAUUCAGUGUGGAACAUGCACAAAAUGGUUCCACAUAAACUGCCUUAGGAUGACAGACGAGGAAAUACCGAGCGGGCAUAUCCCUUGGUAUUGUGCAUUGAGCUAAACCAAGUACAGUGACCCUAGCAUUUAAUGAUAUCUGUAAUAGGUCUUAAAUAAGAAGCAGGAUUACAUGUGUUUAAAGUGUACAUAAA